AUGACCCGAGUGAAGAGUAGGUACUACGUACUGCCUGGAGAAGAAUAACCAAAUCGAACUGUGCACAGUACUCAUAGCAUUGGGAAGGUAAUGUUUCUAACAGCUGUGGCCAAACCUCGCUACAAUGAAGAUGGGGAGAUGACAUUUGAUGGAAAGCUUGGCAUUUGGCCGUUCGUCGUAGAGACCGAGGCACAAUGGACAAGCCAGAACAGAGAUAGGGGGACAAUAGAGUUGAGGCCGGUCAAAGUUACUAGACCUGUGUGCAGAGAUUACCUGAUCAAUAAAGUAAUCCCUGCCAUUCAAGGCAAAUGGCCUGACGGCGACGAGGACACAACGGUCUGCAUUCAACAAGAUAAUGCAACACCGCAUGUCCUGCCUAAUGAUGCUGGUUUUAUAGAAGCCGUGGCGCAGACAGAUCUGGAUAUUCGACUAUUGCAACAACCACCAAACAGUCCUGAGCUCAAUGUGUUAGAUCUUUGUUUCCACUGCUGCCUCCAAUCCCUAACCGACUGCAGAGCACCUAUGAAUAUCCAGGAAUUGGUACAGGGUGUAGAGGAGGAGUUUGAGAACUACGAUGCCCAUAAGCUGUUCAAAAGCUUUAUGACGUUGCAAGCAGUAAUGGUCGAAGUGAUGAAAGAUCAAGGAGGAAACAACUACAAGAUGCCGCAUUUGCAUGAGGUACGUCUACAGAAUACUAGCGAGGAAAUAAUAGGUGUAUAUUGCAGUCCUGAGCUAAUUACCGACAUCAAGGCCAUUAUAGAACAAGGAAAUGAGUAG
RNAcentral lists this ribosomal RNA (777 nucleotides) under Triticum aestivum (bread wheat). Its description in RNAcentral is "partial small subunit ribosomal RNA". The record is from RNAcentral. Lineage: Eukaryota; Viridiplantae; Streptophyta; Magnoliopsida; Poales; Poaceae.